CUUUUACAAUGAAGAGUUUGAUCCUGGCUCAGGAUGAACGCUAGCUACAGGCUUAACACAUGCAAGUCGAGGGGCAGCAUUUCAGUUUGCUUGCAAACUGGAGAUGGCGACCGGCGCACGGGUGAGUAACACGUAUCCAACCUGCCGAUAACUCGGGGAUAGCCUUUCGAAAGAAAGAUUAAUACCCGAUGGCAUAAUUAGACCGCAUGGUUUUAUUAUUAAAGAAUUUCGGUUAUCGAUGGGGAUGCGUUCCAUUAGGCAGUUGGUGAGGUAACGGCUCACCAAACCUUCGAUGGAUAGGGGUUCUGAGAGGAAGGUCCCCCACAUUGGAACUGAGACACGGUCCAAACUCCUACGGGAGGCAGCAGUGAGGAAUAUUGGUCAAUGGACGCGAGUCUGAACCAGCCAAGUAGCGUGAAGGAUGACUGCCCUAUGGGUUGUAAACUUCUUUUAUAUGGGAAUAAAGUUUUCCACGUGUGGAAUUUUGUAUGUACCAUAUGAAUAAGGAUCGGCUAACUCCGUGCCAGCAGCCGCGGUAAUACGGAGGAUCCGAGCGUUAUCCGGAUUUAUUGGGUUUAAAGGGAGCGUAGGUGGACAGUUAAGUCAGUUGUGAAAGUUUGCGGCUCAACCGUAAAAUUGCAGUUGAUACUGGCUGUCUUGAGUACAGUAGAGGUGGGCGGAAUUCGUGGUGUAGCGGUGAAAUGCUUAGAUAUCACGAAGAACUCCGAUUGCGAAGGCAGCUCACUGGACUGCAACUGACACUGAUGCUCGAAAGUGUGGGUAUCAAACAGGAUUAGAUACCCUGGUAGUCCACACAGUAAACGAUGAAUACUCGCUGUUUGCGAUAUACAGUAAGCGGCCAAGCGAAAGCAUUAAGUAUUCCACCUGGGGAGUACGCCGGCAACGGUGAAACUCAAAGGAAUUGACGGGGGCCCGCACAAGCGGAGGAACAUGUGGUUUAAUUCGAUGAUACGCGAGGAACCUUACCCGGGCUUAAAUUGCAUUUGAAUAAUCUGGAAACAGGUUAGCCGCAAGGCAAAUGUGAAGGUGCUGCAUGGUUGUCGUCAGCUCGUGCCGUGAGGUGUCGGCUUAAGUGCCAUAACGAGCGCAACCCUUAUCUUUAGUUACUAACAGGUCAUGCUGAGGACUCUAGAGAGACUGCCGUCGUAAGAUGUGAGGAAGGUGGGGAUGACGUCAAAUCAGCACGGCCCUUACGUCCGGGGCUACACACGUGUUACAAUGGGGGGUACAGAAGGCAGCUACCUGGUGACAGGAUGCUAAUCCCAAAAGCCUCUCUCAGUUCGGAUCGAAGUCUGCAACCCGACUUCGUGAAGCUGGAUUCGCUAGUAAUCGCGCAUCAGCCAUGGCGCGGUGAAUACGUUCCCGGGCCUUGUACACACCGCCCGUCAAGCCAUGAAAGCCGGGGGUACCUGAAGUACGUAACCGCAAGGAGCGUCCUAGGGUAAAACUGGUAAUUGGGGCUAAGUCGUAACAAGGUAGCCGUACCGGAAGGUGCGGCUGGAACACCUCCUUU
This 1534-nucleotide ribosomal RNA is filed under the name Bacteroides thetaiotaomicron. RNAcentral's name for it is "bacterial SSU rRNA". It matches the Rfam family "Bacterial small subunit ribosomal RNA". Lineage: Bacteria; Pseudomonadati; Bacteroidota; Bacteroidia; Bacteroidales; Bacteroidaceae. The record is from RNAcentral.